RNAcentral lists this small RNA (129 nucleotides) under Gammaproteobacteria bacterium. RNAcentral describes it as "RtT sRNA". It matches the Rfam family "RtT RNA". Rfam says of the family: This family represents a bacterial cis-regulatory element known as RtT RNA. The record is from RNAcentral. Lineage: Bacteria; Pseudomonadati; Pseudomonadota; Gammaproteobacteria. RNAcentral also lists the same sequence under 2 other names.
UCGACAAACCGGGGCGCCAGGAUGAGAACCUGCAAGGUUCGACCCGAGCGCCAGCGAGGGAACAGCGGCGCUUGCGACGCUGGCCCGGAGGGCGAGGCCACAGGCCGAGUAAUCCUGGCGCCCCAGCCA